Molecule: long non-coding RNA, 4414 nt
Organism: Anneissia japonica
Lineage: Eukaryota; Metazoa; Echinodermata; Crinoidea; Comatulida; Comatulidae
Exons: 2
Source: RefSeq, a predicted model, not a curated record
GUCACGUGUUGUUUAUUUUGAGCAUGCAAUCAGUCAAGGUUAAAGUUCAAUGCACGCGCGAAUCAGUGUAGUGACGAGGAUCCGUUUCGCAAUCAAAUUUCGCCUUGGAGAUCACAGUUAUACUUGAACGUUUUUUUUUUGUAAGUGUCUACUUUACCUCUUUAGAUAUUGUUUUUGUGACUUUGUUUUCUUAAAAAUUGUUAAACUUGUCACUUAAAUACUUUAAAUACCUGAGGCCCACCAUUUUUUUCUAGGGUGGGCGCUUGACUUCGUUCAAGUUUUUUUCUGAAGAGAAAAACAUGUCUUCGCCGCCCGGGUAUUCAGCUGUGGGAGAAGGAGGCGCAGUGGGAGUCGGUAUUCGUAACUUUUCCGCUUGUGGAAGGGGAACGACUUUGGCUAAUGUCAUCCCAACGGUCAACCCCAAAACAAAGAAUUUUCCAGAGCAACUGGCCAAGCCUGUUUGCAAUUGUUUCAGGCACCCAACACAAGUGAUUUGCAGGACGUGUGGCUUGAUGUUCCACGGCCGCUCAAGAAUGAUUUGCCCCCAACAUCCACAGGUCAUCCACCUCAUGGACUCAGACAAGUGCCCAAAGUGCCAUAGUAACAGUUUGAAAGAAUUUAUAUCUAACAGCGUACCAAGACCGAGAGAAAGCGCAGAUGGCGCAGAUAGAUGGGACUGAAAGAUUGUUAAAAGUGUGGCUUACUCUAUGCAAUUGAGAAAAUAGAAAUAUAAGAUGGAAGCUGCAAUUUAAAUCCAAUGAAAUUUUUAUUUUCACGUCCAGGAUUUUACUUCUUUUUUUUCCACCCCCCCCCCCCUCCCCCCUUUUUUUUUUUUUGCUGAGGUUCUAUUUGCUAUUUACUAUCCUAUAGUGGUAAACAGGCUCUUAAAUAAUAUUUUCUGUGGUCCAAAAUUAAAAGAUGUCUUUAUCAUUAUUAUUCUAAUUAGAGACCAAAGCUGCUAAACACCAUGGAAACCAUGGUCCCAAAAAUAGUCUUUAUGGGAGGGGAGACCUGUAUUUUAUUUUAUAAAAGGAGUAAAGUAACCUUUGUAAUAUAUUCUGCCAUUUAUUUUCCACCUUUGCCAUUCUUUCUUUCAGAUCUUUAUUUUUAUUUACCAUGGAAAAAUUAUUGUUUUUUUUUAUUAGCGGAUAUUAGAUUUUUUUCAAGAGCCUACAACAUUUUACGAGGGUAGGGACGUGAAACUAUCAAUUAUUUUUUUAUUUGGCCUAACGACUUCCUUUAUUAUACUUAUACACACUUGGGCUUUUAAUCUGCUGGUUGAAGCCUUCUUUAAAUUCUAAAAACUGAUUAGGCCCCAUAAAAAAAUUAUUAGUUUAUCGCCGUAUCAAUGAAUAAAAAGUGAUGAGGGAGAGAGGUUUUUUUUUUUUUCUAACCCCCGCCCCCAUUUUACCGAUGUUCACAGUAAAUUAAUGGUUAGGGACACAUAUAAAAAAUCAUAAGAAUGGAAUCAAAUUUAUAAUUAAAAAUUAUAUGUUUUGUUGUUUUAGUAAACAUAUCUACAAGAAAUUCUGAGCUUUUUAAGUGAAAAAAGACGGAAAAAUGACCGUUUGAAAUAAAAAUAUAUUUUGUUUGAAAAAAAAUAAAAAUCUGAAUUUCCCAAAAAGUGGUGAGGGAGGGGUGAUAAACUAAUAAUAUUUUUUAUGGGGCCUUACUUUGGCCAUGUUGGCAGUGCCAUUUUUGUUCCAGGGUUAAAUUUGUGCUUUCAAUUCAAAUACACAUUCCAAUGUUUUUUAAAUGUCUUUCAUAUUUUCUGGUGGCAUUCUGUUGGAGGUAUGCUAUUUAAUCACUUAUUAAAAAUUUGUUCAUACUAUGAAAUUUUAUGCUACAAAAAACUGUGAUACACCCAUGUUGGUUUAUAAUUAUGACACCAUCAUGACCCAUAAUAUGUGUGCAAUACACACAUUUGUCACAUAGAAAUUUGAUAGUACAGGUAUAGACAUGCCUGUCCUGGUAAUGUAAAACCAACAAACCCACCACAAGAUAACUCUACAGCUCAUGCAACCUAAACAAAACUUUUGUACAUACAAAAUAUAUUAAUAUUCAUGUGGAAUCUCUCUACAGUAUUGUAUACAAAAUUGUACAUUCCAAAUCAUAAAGCAUAAUGUUCUCCUUGAUCAGCAUUGUAGUGAUUUCUGAUGUCCAAUAUUAUUAAAAAAGUUAAAUUGUUGAAAGAAAAUAUUAAAUUUAUCAAUAAUUUACCAUAUAAAAGUAUAGAAAAUGGUAUUAUUUGAUACUGUAGGCUGGAUAAAAUAUAAACUUAAUCAAGUGUCAGUGUUUUUUGCAUCAUAACCAAAAGUUCAGUACAGAAACACAAUACUUAAACGGCCAAAUAAAUAAAAACCGAAAGGUCCACUGAUUCAUCUCGGAUAAGAAAGUAUAAUGCAUACUCCAAGUAUUGAAAUAAGCGAUGGCGUGUAUUUCAAUACUUGGAGUAUGUAUUGUACUUUCAAAUAAAUAAAAUUACUAGAUUCUCGUCCCAGAGAAAGAAAUUAUUUUUUUGUACUUUGCCUGAAUCAAACCUAUUAUUUUUCUGAAGCCCUGUCCAGACUAUAAAAUUAUAUUUUUUAAAAAAAAUCAUGUGACAUGCCUAAAUAUGGUUAUGAUGACAUCACAUUAUGACCAUAUAUAGGAACAUCAUGUCAUUGGCAUACAACAGUUUUUUGUAACAGAAAAUUUGAUAGUGUGGAUAUAAAGUUAUGUUAACCUAAUUAGAAUGAAUGAAUAAGCAGGCCACAUGAUGGAUGAAACAUUUGUUGUUAUAAAGUCCUGUCUGACAAUCAAAUUUAAUUUGACAAAAGCCAUGUGAAAUGACUAAAUAUUGUCAUGAUGACAUCACAUCAUGACUAUAUAUAGGCACAUCUUGACUAUAUACGUGCAUAUUAUAACACUUUUUUGUCAAAAUUUGAUAAACUAGACAGGGCUUAGGUUGUGUAAAUUGUUAUUUAUACCUCCAUUAUACUAUACAACUCAUUUUUGCGUACUGGUUGUUGAUUGUUGUUUAUCAAAGGAGUUUAUCAAACUGUUAUGGUAAAGAAAGAAACCAACUUGUUAUAGGGUGUGUACUAAUUUUAAUAACAACAUUCCUUUGUCAAUGAUUCUAUUUGCUUGUGUAGUGUUAUGUAACAGUGAAUAUUAACUACAGCCUGAGUCACCAAAUGGAAAAAAAAAAAAACGAUUCAUGUUUUUAUUACAUUCAUUUCCAAUAGAAUUUACAUUCAUUGCAAUUAUUUUGCUAUUUUGAUGUCUUGUAAGAAGUCGUUCCCAAUUAUCAACAUUUUUGCAAGUGUACAAACAGUACUUUUUUCAGUACACCCUUUCGUCUCUGGAAGUGUACAUAAAAAAAAUGUUGAUUUGCAAAACUUUUCUCCAUUGUUUUUUGUGUACAAUAGUAAAACUGACCAAGGAGGUAUAUAAAAAAGGACUGACGUACCGUACUGUACUUUAGUUGCAUAAAAAUCGGUCGGGCCUGUUAUAUCCCUGGUUGCAUUACAGAAAUACAUUAUUUUAUAUAUAAUAUUGCAAGUUACUUUGAAUUCAUAUUUAAAAUCAUGCAGAAUUGUCCCCUUCACCCUAGCGUACUGUUUGUGUACUUGUAUGAAUAUUGAUAAUUGUGAACGACCCCUAACUAGCAAUCAAUUAAAUAAAUGUUAUAAUCAUAAUUGUUUUCAUGAAGCUGUUCUCUUAGAAAAUAGUUUGUAGAUUGUCAAUAUCGAGAAAAGUUUUUAGUUUUUUACACAAAGAAAACGUGUUAAAGGUGUACACACCUUCCUUUGAUUGUACAGUAUAGUAUAAUAUGUAUUUUUAUUUUAAAUGUUUGAUUUUAUUUUUUACAGUACAGUAUUUAGUUUUAAGGUUUUAAGUACAUACCGGAUUUUGUAUUCAGAUUAAAGCCCAUUGUUAGAUGAGCGGUAUAAUAAAACUAUCCUUGUUUCAGAUCUAAUCAAACAAAUUGUCUUUACAUUUCUGAUGGACAUCCGAAAGUCCUAUAUUUAACUCUGAUCAAACUUUUUUUUAGCUUUGACCAGACUGUUAAUCUUUAUUAGACAAAAAAACAAGUGAUGCUUAAAUUUUGUCAUGAUGACAUCACAUCAUGACCAUAUAUAGGCACAUCAUGACUAUAUAUGGACAUACAACAGUAUUUGGUCAAAGAAAAUUUGAUAAUCUGGACUGACCCUAGAAUAAGAGAUAGUGAACCUGUACUUUAUAUAAUGCUACUUAAUAAUAAUAUUACACCAAAGCAGUGGGAAAGUUUUUACUGUUGACUUUUUGCCAACACGUUCUAGCUUUAAACUUACAAUAUAGGUUGUUAAAUGUUUGUUUCACAUUUGAAAAACAAAGAUGAUAUUGUAUAAUAAGUUGUAGAAAAAUAUUAAAAAACUAUUUUCUUUGAUGA